This 67-nucleotide transfer RNA is filed under the name Gilpinia baiyinaobaoa. Its description in RNAcentral is "tRNA-Pro". Lineage: Eukaryota; Metazoa; Arthropoda; Insecta; Hymenoptera; Diprionidae. The record is from RNAcentral.
CAGAAAAUAGUUUAUUAAAAAUAUUAAUUUUGGAGAUUAAUGAUAGAAUUUAUUAUUCUUUUUUUGA